UAAGGAAUAUUGGUCAAUGCCCGGAAGGGUGAACCAGCCAUCCCGCGUGAAGGAUGAAGGGGCUCUGCCUUGUAAACUUCUUUUGAAUGGGACGAAAAAGCCUCACUUGUGAGGAACUGACGGUACCAUUAGAAUAAGCACCGGCUAACUCCGUGCCAGCAGCCGCGGUAAUACGGAGGGUGCGAGCGUUGUUCGGAAUUACUGGGCGUAAAGGGCUCGUAGGCGGCCAACUAAGUCAGACGUGAAAUCCCUCGGCUUAACCGGGGAACUGCGUCUGAUACUGGAUGGCUUGAGGUUGGGAGAGGGAUGCGGAAUUCCAGGUGUAGCGGUGAAAUGCGUAGAUAUCUGGAGGAACACCGGUGGCGAAGGCGGCAUCCUGGACCGGCAUUGACGCUGAGGAGCGAAAGCCAGGGGAGCAAACGGGAUUAGAUACCCGCGUAGUCCCUGAGCGGGCUGGCAAGGCGCAU
This 467-nucleotide ribosomal RNA is filed under the name uncultured bacterium. RNAcentral's name for it is "bacterial SSU rRNA". It matches the Rfam family "Bacterial small subunit ribosomal RNA", at positions 355 to 825 of the family's 1533-position model. The record is from RNAcentral.